RNAcentral lists this ribosomal RNA (305 nucleotides) under uncultured bacterium. Its description in RNAcentral is "bacterial SSU rRNA". It matches the Rfam family "Bacterial small subunit ribosomal RNA", at positions 337 to 635 of the family's 1533-position model. The record is from RNAcentral.
CCCUACGGGGGGCAGCAGUAGGGAAUCUUCCACAAUGGGCGAAAGCCUGAUGGAGCAACGCCGCGUGGGUGAAGAAGGUCUUCGGAUCGUAAACCCUGUUGUUAGAGAAGAAAGUGCGUGAGAGUAACUGUUCACGAUUCGACGGUAUCUAACCAGAAAGACACGGCUAACUACGUGCCAGCAGCCGCGGUAAUACGUAGGUGGCAAGCGUUAUCCGGAUUUAUUGGGCGUAAAGAGAACGCAGGAGGUCUUUUACGUCUGAUGUGAACGCCUUCGGAUUAACCGGAGUAGUGGAUUGGAAACUG